This 393-nucleotide ribosomal RNA is filed under the name uncultured bacterium. RNAcentral's name for it is "partial 16S ribosomal RNA". It matches the Rfam family "Bacterial small subunit ribosomal RNA", at positions 523 to 918 of the family's 1533-position model. The record is from RNAcentral.
AUACGGAGGACGCGAGCGUUAUCCGGAUUCAUUGGGUUUAAAGGGUGCGCAGGCGGCCGUGCGAGUCAGCGGUGAAAGCCCGGGGCUCAACCCCGGAAGUGCCGUUGAUACUGCAUGGCUGGAAUGCGGUCGAGGCGGGCGGGACGUGGCGGGGAGCGGGGAAAUGCGUAAAUAUGCCACAGAAAGCCGAUAGCGGAGGCAGCUCGCCGGGCGUGCAUUGACGCUCGGGCACGAAAGCGUGGGGAUCGAACAGGAUUAGAUACCCUGGUAGUCCACGCCGUAAACGAUGGGCGCUCGUCGUCGGCGGCAGACAGUCGGCGGCCAAGCGAAAGCGAUAAGCGCCCCACCUGGGGAGUACGGUCGCAAGGCUGAAACUCAAAUGAAUUGACGGGG